Zalophus californianus (California sea lion) is the source of this 574-nucleotide long non-coding RNA. RefSeq lists it as uncharacterized. Lineage: Eukaryota; Metazoa; Chordata; Mammalia; Carnivora; Otariidae. The transcript has 3 exons. The record is from RefSeq and is a predicted model, not a curated record.
CCCACCUGGCUUUUCCUUCACAGUGCUCUCAAAAUCCACCGUCCCAGCUUUUAAUCUGAACCUUCGGUGAACCGACGUGUAUUUUUAGCUGCACCACCUCUUGGGCUGAGCUUUUCCCAUAUGUUUGUUAACCACGAACAUUGCCACUUCCGUAAAGAGUCUGUUUACCGGAGGAAUAGUCUUAAAGUUAAAAUAGAAUUUGAAAAAUACUCAUGAGCAAGAAAGGAAAAAGUAGAGACUAGAAACCAGGCAUUGGACACCGAGACUGUGCUCCAAAGGCUGAUUUUACUCCCCUUCUUCAGACCCAAAAGUGACAACUUCUCGAAUGCCGGAAACUGCAGCAUGCCUACAGCUCUACCCUCAGACUCCAGCACCUCGCCUGGCACACCCCACAGGAAACCAACACUGCUCCAUCCCCAGCUUGGAUUGGAGGAGAGUAUUAAGUCAACACGGGGGGCAGCGAGGGGACCAUCCACGUGUCAAUUCAAAGACUGACAAUUAAGAUUUAAAAAAAUGGAAGAGAAAUUAACAGGUUAGGCAUCUCUCUCUUUUGAAAAAAAUAUAAAUAAAAGAA